RNAcentral lists this ribosomal RNA (497 nucleotides) under uncultured bacterium. RNAcentral's name for it is "partial 16S ribosomal RNA". It matches the Rfam family "Bacterial small subunit ribosomal RNA", at positions 28 to 507 of the family's 1533-position model. The record is from RNAcentral.
GAUGAACGCUGGCGGCGUGCCUAAUACAUGCAAGUCGAGCGAACGGACGAGAAGCUUGCUUCUCUGAUGUUAGCGGCGGACGGGUGAGUAACACGUGGAUAACCUACCUAUAAGACUGGGAUAACUUCGGGAAACCGGAGCUAAUACCGGAUGAUAUUUUGAACCGCAGGGUUCAAAAGUGAAAGACGGUCUUGCUGUCACUUAUAGAUGGAUCCGCGCUGCAUUAGCUAGUUGGUAAGGUAACGGCUUACCAAGGCAACGAUGCAUAGCCGACCUGAGAGGGUGAUCGGCCACACUGGAACUGAGACACGGUCCAGACUCCUACGGGAGGCAGCAGUAGGGAACCUUCCGCAAUGGGCGAAAGCCUGACGGAGCGAGGCCGCGUGAGUGAUGAAGGUCUUCGGAUCGUAAAACUCUGUUAUUGGUGAAGAACAUAUGUGUAAGUAACUGUGCACAUCUUGACGGUACCUAGUCAGAAAGCCACGGCUAACUACGUG